GACGAACGCUGGCGGCGCGCCUAACACAUGCAAGUCGAACGAGCGAGAGAGAGCUUGCUUUCUCAAGCGAGUGGCGAACGGGUGAGUAACGCGUGAGGAACCUGCCUCAAAGAGGGGGACAACAGUUGGAAACGACUGCUAAUACCGCAUAAGCCCACGGCUCGGCAUCGAGCAGAGAGAAAAGGAGCAAUCCGCUUUGAGAUGGCCUCGCGUCCGAUUAGCUAGUUGGUGAGGUAAUGGCCCACCAAGGCGACGAUCGGUAGCCGGACUGAGAGGUUGAACGGCCACAUUGGGACUGAGACACGGCCCAGACUCCUACGGGAGGCAGCAGUGGGGAAUAUUGCACAAUGGGGGAAACCCUGAUGCAGCGACGCCGCGUGGAGGAAGAAGGUCUUCGGAUUGUAAACUCCUGUUGUUGAGGAAGAUAAUGACGGUACUCAACAAGGAAGUGACGGCUAACUACGUGCCAGCAGCCGCGGUAAAACGUAGGUCACAAGCGUUGUCCGGAAUUACUGGGUGUAAGGGAGCGCAGGCGGGAAGACAAGUUGGAAGUGAAAUCCAUGGGCUCAACCCAUGAACUGCUUUCAAAACUGUUUUUCUUGAGUAGUGCAGAGGUAGGCGGAAUUCCCGGUGUAGCGGUGGAAUGCGUAGAUAUCGGGAGGAACACCAGUGGCGAAGGCGGCCUACUGGGCACCAACUGACGCUGAGGCUCGAAAGUGUGGGUAGCAAACAGGAUUAGAUACCCUGGUAGUCCACACUGUAAACGAUGAUUACUAGGUGUUGGAGGAUUGACCCCUUCAGUGCCGCAGUUAACACAAUAAGUAAUCCACCUGGGGAGUACGACCGCAAGGUUGAAACUCAAAGGAAUUGACGGGGGCCCGCACAAGCAGUGGAGUAUGUGGUUUAAUUCGACGCAACGCGAAGAACCUUACCAAGUCUUGACAUCCCUUGACGAUGCUGGAAACAGUAUUUCUCUUCGGAGCAAGGAGACAGGUGGUGCAUGGUUGUCGUCAACUCGUGUCGUGAGAUGUUGGGUUAAGUCCCGCAACGAGCGCAACCCUUAUGGUCAGUUACUACGCAAGAGGACUCUGGCCAGACUGCCGUUGACAAAACGGAGGAAGGUGGGGAUGACGUCAAAUCAUCAUGCCCUUUAUGACUUGGGCUACACACGUACUACAAUGGCGUUAAACAAAGAGAAGCAAGACCGCGAGGUGGAGCAAAACUCAGAAACAACGUCCCAGUUCGGACUGCAGGCUGCAACUCGCCUGCACGAAGUCGGAAUUGCUAGUAAUCGCAGAUCAGCAUGCUGCGGUGAAUACGUUCCCGGGCCUU
This 1332-nucleotide ribosomal RNA is filed under the name uncultured bacterium. RNAcentral describes it as "bacterial SSU rRNA". It matches the Rfam family "Bacterial small subunit ribosomal RNA", at positions 28 to 1382 of the family's 1533-position model. The record is from RNAcentral.